This 440-nucleotide ribosomal RNA is filed under the name uncultured bacterium. RNAcentral's name for it is "partial 16S ribosomal RNA". It matches the Rfam family "Bacterial small subunit ribosomal RNA", at positions 338 to 795 of the family's 1533-position model. The record is from RNAcentral.
CCUACGGGAGGCAGCAGUGGGGAAUAUUGCACAAUGGGGGAAACCCUGAUGCAGCGACGCCGCGUGAAGGAAGAAGUAUUUCGGUAUGUAAACUUCUAUCAGCAGGGAAGAAAAUGACGGUACCUGACUAAGAAGCCCCGGCUAACGACGUGCCAGCAGCCGCGGUAAUACGUAGGGGGCAAGCGUUAUCCGGAUUUACUGGGUGUAAAGGGAGCGUAGGCGGUUCAGCAAGUCAGAAGUGAAAGCCCGGGGCUCAACUCCUGGACUGCUUUUGAAACUGUUGAACUAGAUUGCAGGAGAGGUAAGUGGAAUUCCUCGUGUAGCGGUGAACUGCGUAGAUAUUCGGAGGAACCCCAGUGGCGACGGCGGCUUACUGGACUGUACCUGCCGCUGAGGCUCGAACGCGUGGGGAGCAAACAGGAUUAGAUACCCUGGUAGUC